AGAGUAGCAUUGGAGGCAGUCUGGUGCCAGCAGCCGCGGUAAUUCCAGCUCCAAUAGCGUAUAUUAAACUUGUUGCAGUUAAAAAGCUCGUAGUUGAAUUUUAGCGUGUUCGAGUUUGCCAUUCGUUUGGCUUUUUCGAGUUCGCUUUUGGGUUUUCCCUUUUUACUUUGAGAAAAUUAGAGUGUUUCAAGCAGACUUUUGUCUUGAAUACUUCAGCAUGGAAUAAUAGAGUAGGACUUUGGUUCUAUUUUGUUGGUUAUUGAACCUUAGUAAUGGUUAAUAGGAACGUUGGGGC
This 295-nucleotide ribosomal RNA is filed under the name Babesia vogeli. RNAcentral's name for it is "partial 18S ribosomal RNA". It matches the Rfam family "Eukaryotic small subunit ribosomal RNA", at positions 538 to 887 of the family's 1831-position model. The record is from RNAcentral. Lineage: Eukaryota; Apicomplexa; Aconoidasida; Piroplasmida; Babesiidae.